RNAcentral lists this ribosomal RNA (408 nucleotides) under Geobacillus icigianus. RNAcentral's name for it is "bacterial SSU rRNA". It matches the Rfam family "Bacterial small subunit ribosomal RNA", at positions 137 to 529 of the family's 1533-position model. The record is from RNAcentral. Lineage: Bacteria; Bacillati; Bacillota; Bacilli; Caryophanales; Anoxybacillaceae.
ACCGGGAUAACUCCGGGAAACCGGAGCUAAUACCGGAUAACACCGAAGACCGCAUGGUCUUUGGUUGAAAGGCGGCCUUUGGCUGUCACUUGCGGAUGGGCCCGCGGCGCAUUAGCUAGUUGGUGAGGUAACGGCUCACCAAGGCGACGAUGCGUAGCCGGCCUGAGAGGGUGACCGGCCACACUGGGACUGAGACACGGCCCAGACUCCUACGGGAGGCAGCAGUAGGGAAUCUUCCGCAAUGGGCGAAAGCCUGACGGAGCGACGCCGCGUGAGCGAAGAAGGCCUUCGGGUCGUAAAGCUCUGUUGUGAGGGACGAAGGAGCGCCGUUCGAAGAGGGCGGCGCGGUGACGGUACCUCACGAGGAAGCCCCGGCUAACUACGUGCCAGCAGCCGCGGUAAUACGUA